RNAcentral lists this ribosomal RNA (303 nucleotides) under uncultured bacterium. RNAcentral describes it as "partial 16S ribosomal RNA". It matches the Rfam family "Bacterial small subunit ribosomal RNA", at positions 507 to 807 of the family's 1533-position model. The record is from RNAcentral.
AGCAGUCGCCACGGUAACACGUAGGGGGCGAGCGUUGUCCGAAGUUACUGGGCGUAAAGAGCGCGUAGGCUGGUCUUUAAGUGAGUGGUGAAAGGUUCGGGCUCAACCCGGACACUGCCUUUCAUACUGGGGACCUUGAGUGUGGGAGAGGCGAGUGGAAUGGUCGGUGUAGCGGUGAAAUGCGUUGAGAUCGGAAAGAACACCAACGGCGAAAGCACUCUGCUGGGCCGACACUGACACUGAGAGACGAAAGCUAGGGGAGCAAAUGGGAUUAGAUACCCCUGUAGUCCCUGUCUCUUAUAC